Molecule: transfer RNA, 58 nt
Filed under: Mus musculus (house mouse)
Lineage: Eukaryota; Metazoa; Chordata; Mammalia; Rodentia; Muridae
Rfam family: tRNA
About the family: Transfer RNA (tRNA) molecules are approximately 80 nucleotides in length.
Source: Rfam by way of RNAcentral
UGGCUCAGUGGUUAAGAGCACUGACUUCUCUUCCAGAGGUCCUGGGUUCAAUUCCCAG